GGAUUAGGCAUGCAAGUCGAGCGAGAAGUCUUAGUUUGAAGCUUCGGCCGAUUUCUAAGAUGGACAGCGGCGAAAGGGAGAGUAAUGAGUGGAUUACCUACCCCCAGGACCGGGAUAGCUGUGGGAAACCGCAGGUAAUACCGGAUAAUAUCUCCGGAUCAAAUGGUGAGAUUCCGCCAGGGGAUGGGUCCGCUUCCUAUUAGCUUGUUGGUGGGGUAACGGCCUACCAAGGCAACAAUGGGUACCGGGUGUGAGAGCAUGGCCCGGCUCACUGGGACUGAGACACUGCCCAGACACCUACGGGUGGCUGCAGUCGAGAAUCUUCCGCAAUGGGCGAAAGCCUGACGGAGCGACGCCGCGUGCGGGAUGAAGGCCUUCGGGUUGUAAACCGCUGUCAGUUGGGAGGAAAUCUAUGAGGGUUAUCCCUCAUAGUUGACCUAUCUUCAGAGGAAGGACGGGCUAAGUUCGUGCCAGCAGCCGCGGUAAGACGAACCGUCCAAACGUUAUUCGGAAUCACUGGGCUUAAAGGGUGCGUAGGCGGCUUGGCAAGUUGGGUGUGAAAUCCCUCGGCUCAACCGAGGAACUGCGCUCAAAACUGCCAAGCUAGAGGAAGAUAGAGGUGAGCGGAACUAAUGGUGGAGCGGUGAAAUGCGUUGAUAUCAUUAGGAACACCUGUGGCGAAAGCGGCUCACUGGGUCUUUUCUGACGCUGAGGCACGAAAGCUAGGGUAGCGAACGGGAUUAGAUACCCCGGUAGUCCUAGCUGUAAACGAUGAGCACUAGGUUGGAGGCUCCUCCAUAGGUUUCCGA
This 809-nucleotide ribosomal RNA is filed under the name uncultured Planctomycetota bacterium. RNAcentral's name for it is "bacterial SSU rRNA". It matches the Rfam family "Bacterial small subunit ribosomal RNA", at positions 46 to 845 of the family's 1533-position model. The record is from RNAcentral. Lineage: Bacteria; Pseudomonadati; Planctomycetota.